Molecule: ribosomal RNA, 254 nt
Filed under: uncultured bacterium
Lineage: Bacteria
Description: partial 16S ribosomal RNA
Rfam family: Bacterial small subunit ribosomal RNA
Source: RNAcentral
CACGUAGGGGGCAGGCGUUGUCCGGAUUUAUUGGGCGUAAAGAGCUCGUAGGCGGUCCGAUAAGUCGGGUGUGAAACCUCCAGGCUCAACCUGGAGACGCCACCCGAUACUGUCGUGACUAGAGUCCAGUAGGGGAGCGUGGAAUUCCUGGUGUAGCGGUGAAAUGCGCAGAUAUCAGGAGGAACACCAGCGGCGAAGGCGGCGCUCUGGGCUGGCACUGACGCUGAGGAGCGAAAGCGUGGGGAGCGAACAGG